CAAAGGCUUGGUCCUGGCUUUGCCAUCAACUUUAACCAAAUUUACACAUGCGAGUAUCCGCACCCCCGUGAGAAUGCCCCACAGCCUCCUGGACUGGAGACGAGGAGCCGGUAUCAGGCACAGUAUUACUAGCCCACAACACCUUGCUUAGCCACACCCCCAAGGGAAUUCAGCAGUGAUAAAUAUUAAGCCAUAAGUGAAAACUUGACUUAGUUAGUGUUAAUAGGGUCGGUAAAUUUCGUGCCAGCCACCGCGGUUAUACGAGAGACCCAAGUUGAUUGCCCUCGGCGUAAAGAGUGGUUAAGAAAAACCCUUAAACUAAAGAUGAACGACUUCAAAGCUGUUAUACGCACACGAAUCCAUGAAAAUCAACUACGAAAGUGACUUUAAACCCCUGACCCCACGAAAGCUAUGACACAAACUGGGAUUAGAUACCCCACUAUGCCUAGCCGUAAACAUUGAUAUUAAUCUACCUGUUUUAUCCGCCCGGGUACUACGAGCAUCAGCUUAAAACCCAAAGGACUUGACGGUGCUUUAGAUCCACCUAGAGGAGCCUGUUCUAGAACCGAUAAUCCCCGUUAAACCUCACCUUUCCUCGUUUCAUCAGCCUAUAUACCGCCGUCGUCAGUUUACUCUGUGAAGAACUUGAAGUAAGCACAAUUGGUACAACCCAAAACGCCAGGUCGAGGUGUAGCCAAUGGAGAGGGAAGAAAUGGGCUACAUUCAAUAAAAAUAAUGAACACGAAUGAUGUUUUGAAAUAAAUAUCUAAAGGAGGAUUUAGUAGUAAGUGGAGAAUAGAGUGCUCUACUGAAAUUGGCCCUGAAGCGCGUACACACCGCCCGU
This 844-nucleotide non-coding RNA is filed under the name Halichoeres chrysus (canary wrasse). Its description in RNAcentral is "partial small subunit ribosomal RNA". It matches the Rfam family "Bacterial small subunit ribosomal RNA". The record is from RNAcentral. Lineage: Eukaryota; Metazoa; Chordata; Actinopteri; Labriformes; Labridae.